GACACAAUGAUUAUAAGUUCUCACAAGCAAAAAAUAACAUUCAAAGUAGUAUAAAUUUUAUUCUUUUCUGAGUAGCAGAAUGAUUACUUCAUUGAGACCCAGAACCUACAUUUUUAUCAUGUUUAAUUUUAGUUCACCCUCUUUAAUAAAUAGCUGAAGCACUGCAAUAAGGGUAUUAUAUGAUUAUCUCCUGAGUUUUUUUUUUUUCAAAUUACCAUUUAAAUAGAAAGAGAUUUAAAAAAUCCCACAAGACUCUUGGUUCCUAGUAAUGCAUUUCUCAUAUAACUCAUUUAGGUUAACUAUGUUUUAGAAAGCCCCUCUCUUUCAAUUUGACUUUUCUUAGAAAUUAUAUUAAAGAUGGAACAAUUAAGUGCCUCAGACCUGAGAAAGGCAGAGCUUUAAAAGGGCAGCACAGCCCAAAGCUCAGCUUGCCUUCUUAGUUCAAUUUCUCUGGGUUUGGGAGGCCUUGCCGAAGGCAUGAACUACAGUCCUAAAAUGUCAGGUCUGAUCUUACAAAUGCUUCCUGUCUUCUUGGUAAACUUUCAAUGAAUUACCCCACACCUCUUUCUUCUCACUUUCUAAGGAGCUCAAAUCAAAUCUCUAUAUUAUUCAGAGUUUAUUCUCAGUACUAUCAAUAUAUUUGGUCUCACACUUGCCAUUUUUUAUCUUUUCCUGUUUUUUUUCUAUAACCCAGAGUUUGUGGUGAGAAUUAUAUGACUAAUUCAUGUAAAAUAUGUGGAAUAGCAAUUAGCAUUAUUAAGCACUAAAUAAAAUACUACUAACAUAUAAUGAAUAGUAUUAGGGGGAUCUGAUGUGUAGACCCAUGCACAGAACUGUUCUGAUAAACUUGAAAAGGGAUUGCAUACUACUAUGUUCCUAAAGAUGGUGGGGUUAUGGAGUUAAAAGUAAAGUAAAAGAUUCCGAUCUUACAAAUCUUAAAAUUCAGUGAAGGCAAGGUGGUAAUGAGAGAACAGUGGAGUUCUAGUUUUGCCACAAAGAAUAUAUGUAUGAUAGACGCCAGAAAAAAUAAACAAACUAGGCCAAGUCAUUAGGCAGAGAAGCCAUAAGUUCUGCCUUGAGGAAGAGGCUUAUAAUGUUUUCCAUGAGAGAAAGUCGAAAAUGAAUUCCAUUCACAAGUAAAUCUGCAUUCAUUUUUUAACAUGCUAAAAAAUUCUGAGGAAAAAUGUCAUAGAACAAACUUAUAUGGCACUUAUCCUGAUGCCAUUUGAAAGUCUGUUACCUUAAUAAGGCACUUCCC
Long non-coding RNA from Phyllostomus discolor (pale spear-nosed bat), 1258 nucleotides. RefSeq lists it as uncharacterized. The record is from RefSeq and is a predicted model, not a curated record. NCBI's taxonomy places the organism in Eukaryota, Metazoa, Chordata, Mammalia, Chiroptera, Phyllostomidae. The transcript is spliced from 3 exons.